GNUCCCGAGCGUUGUCCGGAUUUAUUGGGCGUAAAGCGAGCGCAGGCGGUUAGAUAAGUCUGAAGUUAAAGGCUGUGGNUUAACCAUAGUACGCUUUGGAAACUGUUUAACUUGAGUGCAGAAGGGGAGAGUGGAAUUCCAUGUGUAGCGGUGAAAUGCGUAGAUAUAUGGAGGAACACCGGUGGCGAAAGCGGCUCUCUGGUCUGUAACUGACGCUGAGGCUCGAAAGCGUGGGGAGCGAACAGGAUUAGAUACCCUGGUAGUNCACGCCGUAAACGAUGAGUGCUAGGUGUUAGGCCCNUUCCGGGGCUUAGUGCCGCAGCUAACGCAUUAAGCACUCCGCCUGGGGAGUACGACCGCAAGGUUGAAACUCAAAGGAAUUGACGGGGGCCCGCACAAGCGGUGGAGCAUGUGGUUUAAUUCGAAGCAACGCGAAGAACCUUACCAGGUCUUGCCAUCCCGAUGCCCGCUCUAGAGAUAGAGUUUUACUUCGGUACAUCGGUGACAGGUGGUGCAUGGUUGUCGUCAGCUCGUGUCGUGAGAUGUUGGGUUAAGUCCCGCAACGAGCGCAACCCUUAUUGUUAGUUGCCAUCAUUCAGUUGGGCACUCUAGCGAGACUGCCGGUAAUAAACCGGAGGAAGGUGGGGAUGACGUCAAAUCAUCAUGCCCCUUAUGACCUGGGCUACACACGUGCUACAAUGGCUGGUACAACGAGUCGCAAGUCGGUGACGGCAAGCUAAUCUCUUAAAGCCAGUCUCAGUUCGGAUUGUAGGCUGCAACUCGCCUACAUGAAGUCGGAAUCGCUAGUAAUCGCGGAUCAGCACGCCGCGGUGAAUACGUUCCCGGGCCUUGUACACACCGCCCGUCACACCACGAGAGUUUGUAACACCCGAAGUCGGUGAGGUGNCCUUUUAGGA
Molecule: ribosomal RNA, 917 nt
Filed under: uncultured bacterium
Lineage: Bacteria
Description: bacterial SSU rRNA
Rfam family: Bacterial small subunit ribosomal RNA
Source: RNAcentral